This 491-nucleotide ribosomal RNA is filed under the name uncultured bacterium. Its description in RNAcentral is "partial 16S ribosomal RNA". It matches the Rfam family "Bacterial small subunit ribosomal RNA", at positions 29 to 507 of the family's 1533-position model. The record is from RNAcentral.
AGUGAACGCUGGCGGUGGCCUCACCCAUGCAAGUCGAACGGCAGCACAGUAAGAGCUUGCUCUUACGGGUGGCGAGUGGCGGACGGGUGAGGAAUACAUCGGAAUCUACUUUUUCGUGGGGGAUAACGUAGGGAAACUUACGCUAAUACCGCAUACGACCUACGGGUGAAAGCAGGGGAUCUUCGGACCUUGCGCGAUUGAAUGAGCCGAUGUCGGAUUAGCUAGUUGGCGGGGUAAAGGCCCACCAAGGCGACGAUCCGUAGCUGGUCUGAGAGGAUGAUCAGCCACACUGGAACUGAGACACGGUCCAGACUCCUACGGGAGGCAGCAGUGGGGAAUAUUGGACAAUGGGCGCAAGCCUGAUCCAGCCAUACCGCGUGGGUGAAGAAGGCCUUCGGGUUGUAAAGCCCUUUUGUUGGGAAAGAAAAGCAGCAGGUUAAUACCCCGCUGUUCUGACGGUACCCAAAGAAUAAGCACCGGCUAACUUCGUG